CCUGAUCCCACUGGGAAAUUUGCUUAUGAAAAGGCUGAACAAAAAUGAGCAAGGCAGCAGCCUCUACAGGUGCAUAUCUGGAGUUCAGGAUAAACACCUCCAAGCUUGGAUUUCCUGCCUUCCACUUACGCCAAAGAGCUGGAAGGGAUGGAAGGUGCAGCCUCUACGGGGAGGAGUUGUUACUUCUUGUUCAAAUCACACCUGAAAUCACGCUGGAAGACUGAAGUGAGAAAUCUCCCACUGCCUUGGUUUUAGCAGAAUCUGAAUUUUUCAGCAUCCUUCUGGGUACACAGGCCUUGAGCAUCAAACUUCUUUUUCUGAAGAUAUCUUCUGAACUCGUAUUAUUUUUGCAUUAUGUUUCAAUCUCAUCUCCAAUGUGAAAGAAAAAC
RNAcentral lists this long non-coding RNA (389 nucleotides) under Numida meleagris (helmeted guineafowl). RNAcentral describes it as "lncRNA (ENSNMEG00000015396.1)". Lineage: Eukaryota; Metazoa; Chordata; Aves; Galliformes; Numididae. The record is from RNAcentral.